GAUGAACGCUGGCGGCGUGCCUAAUACAUGCAAGUCGAGCGAACGGACGAGAAGCUUGCUUCUCUGAUGUUAGCGGCGGACGGGUGAGUAACACGUGGAUAACCUACCUAUAAGACUGGGAUAACUUCGGGAAACCGGAGCUAAUACCGGUUAAUAUUUUGAACCGCACGGUUCAAAAGUGAAAGACGGUCUUGCUGUCACUUAUAGAUGGAUCCGCGCUGCAUUAGCUAGUUGGUAAGGUAACGGCUUACCAAGGCAACGAUGCAUAGCCGACCUGAGAGGGUGAUCGGCCACACUGGAACUGAGACACGGUCCAGACUCCUACGGGAGGCAGCAGUAGGGAAUCUUCCGCAAUGGGCGAAAGCCUGACGGAGCAACGCCGCGUGAGUGAUGAAGGUCUUCGGAUCGUAAAACUCUGUUAUUAGGGAAGAACAUAUGUGUAAGUAACUGUGCACAUCUUGACGGUACCUAAUCAGAAAGCCACGGCUAACUACGUG
This 497-nucleotide ribosomal RNA is filed under the name uncultured bacterium. Its description in RNAcentral is "partial 16S ribosomal RNA". It matches the Rfam family "Bacterial small subunit ribosomal RNA", at positions 28 to 507 of the family's 1533-position model. The record is from RNAcentral.